Molecule: ribosomal RNA, 433 nt
Filed under: uncultured bacterium
Lineage: Bacteria
Description: partial 16S ribosomal RNA
Rfam family: Bacterial small subunit ribosomal RNA
Source: RNAcentral
AACGAACGCUGGCGGCAUGCCUAACACAUGCAAGUCGAACGAGACCUCCGGGUCUAGUUGCGCACGGGUGCGUAACGCGUGGGAACCUGCCCGUAGGCUCGGUAUAACUCCCCGAAAGGGAUGCUAAGACCGGGUCAUGUAUUCGGACCAAAGAUUUGUCGCCUUGGGAUGGGCCCGUGUUGGGUUAGCUAGUUGGUAUGGUAAAAGCCUACCAAGGCGACGAUCCAUAGCUGGUCGGAGAGGAGGCCAAGCCAGACUGGGAACGCGGCACGGCCCAGACUCGUACGGGAGGGAGCAGUGGGGAAUAUUGGAGGAGGGGCGAUAGUCUGAUGCAGCCGUGUCGGGGAAGUGAUGAAGGGCUUAGGGUUGUAAAGCUCGUUUAGCAGGGGUGAUAGUGACAGUACCGGGAGAAUAAGCUCCGGCUAACUACGUG